Molecule: ribosomal RNA, 497 nt
Filed under: uncultured bacterium
Lineage: Bacteria
Description: partial 16S ribosomal RNA
Rfam family: Bacterial small subunit ribosomal RNA
Source: RNAcentral
GACGAACGCUGGCGGCGUGCCUAAUACAUGCAAGUUGAGCGCUGAAGGUUGGUACUUGUACCGACUGGAUGAGCAGCGAACGGGUGAGUAACGCGUGGGGAAUCUGCCUUUGAGCGGGGGACAACAUUUGGAAACGAAUGCUAAUACCGCAUAAAAACUUUAAACACAAGUUUUAAGUUUGAAAGAUGCAAUUGCAUCACUCAAAGAUGAUCCCGCGUUGUAUUAGCUAGUUGGUGAGGUAAAGGCUCACCAAGGCGAUGAUACAUAGCCGACCUGAGAGGGUGAUCGACCACAUUGGGACUGAGACACGGCCCAAACUCCUACGGGAGGCAGCAGUAGGGAAUCUUCGGCAAUGGACGAAAGUCUGACCGAGCAACGCCGCGUGAGUGAAGAAGGUUUUCGGAUCGUAAAACUCUGUUGGUAGAGAAGAACGUUGGUGAGAGUGGAAAGCUCAUCAAGUGACGGUAACUACCCAGAAAGCGACGGCUAACUACGUG